This 87-nucleotide transfer RNA is filed under the name bacterium. RNAcentral describes it as "tRNA-Leu". It matches the Rfam family "tRNA". From Rfam's summary of the family: Transfer RNA (tRNA) molecules are approximately 80 nucleotides in length. Their secondary structure includes four short double-helical elements and three loops (D, anti-codon, and T loops). The record is from RNAcentral.
GCCCGGGUGGCGGAACUGGCAGACGCAGAGGACUUAAGAUCCUCCGCUCGCAAGAGCUUGUGGGUUCGACCCCCACCCCGGGCACCA